This 1016-nucleotide ribosomal RNA is filed under the name uncultured bacterium. RNAcentral describes it as "bacterial SSU rRNA". It matches the Rfam family "Bacterial small subunit ribosomal RNA", at positions 357 to 1376 of the family's 1533-position model. The record is from RNAcentral.
AGGAAUAUUGGUCAAUGGGCGAGAGCCUGAACCAGCCAAGUAGCGUGAAGGAUGAAGGUCCUACGGAUUGUAAACUUCUUUUAUACGGGAAUAAAGUAUCCUACGUGUAGGAUUUUGUAUGUACCGUAUGAAUAAGCAUCGGCUAACUCCGUGCCAGCAGCCGCGGUAAUACGGAGGAUGCGAGCGUUAUCCGGAUUUAUUGGGUUUAAAGGGAGCGCAGACGGGAGAUUAAGUCAGUUGUGAAAGUUUGCGGCUCAACCGUAAAAUUGCAGUUGAUACUGGUUUCCUUGAGUGCAGUUGAGGCAGGCGGAAUUCGUGGUGUAGCGGUGAAAUGCUUAGAUAUCACGAAGAACCCCGAUUGCGAAGGCAGCUUGCUAAACUGUAACUGACGUUCAUGCUCGAAAGUGUGGGUAUCAAACAGGAUUAGAUACCCUGGUAGUCCACACGGUAAACGAUGGAUACUCGCUGUUGGCGAUAUACUGUCAGCGGCCAAGCGAAAGCAUUAAGUAUCCCACCUGGGGAGUACGCCGGCAACGGUGAAACUCAAAGGAAUUGACGGGGGCCCGCACAAGCGGAGGAACAUGUGGUUUAAUUCGAUGAUACGCGAGGAACCUUACCCGGGCUUAAAUUGCAGACGAAUUACGAGGAAACUUGUAAGCCGCAAGGCGUCUGUGAAGGUGCUGCAUGGUUGUCGUCAGCUCGUGCCGUGAGGUGUCGGCUUAAGUGCCAUAACGAGCGCAACCCUCGUGGUCAGUUACUAACAGGUUAAGCUGAGGACUCUGGCCAGACUGCCAUCGUAAGAUGUGAGGAAGGUGGGGAUGACGUCAAAUCAGCACGGCCCUUACGUCCGGGGCUACACACGUGUUACAAUGGGAGGUACAGAAGGCAGCUACCCGGCGACGGGAUGCCAAUCCCCAAAACCUCUCUCAGUUCGGACUGGAGUCUGCAACCCGACUCCACGAAGCUGGAUUCGCUAGUAAUCGCGCAUCAGCCACGGCGCGGUGAAUACGUUCCCG